This 89-nucleotide non-coding RNA is filed under the name Faecalicatena contorta. Its description in RNAcentral is "GEMM cis-regulatory element". It matches the Rfam family "c-di-GMP-I riboswitch aptamer". From Rfam's summary of the family: GEMM was predicted in a large-scale screen for bacterial structured RNA regulatory elements. Genes associated with GEMM are involved in a diverse array of functions, including chemotaxis regulation, signal transduction, secretion and chitin. Lineage: Bacteria; Bacillati; Bacillota; Clostridia; Lachnospirales; Lachnospiraceae. RNAcentral also lists the same sequence under 1 other name. The record is from RNAcentral.
UAAAGCCAAGGGCAAACCCGCUGAAAACCGGGGGCGCAAAGCCGAGGGUCUAAGACGUUUUGGAACGUUAUGAUAGCCUGGCUGCCAAA